Molecule: long non-coding RNA, 208 nt
Filed under: Carica papaya (papaya)
Lineage: Eukaryota; Viridiplantae; Streptophyta; Magnoliopsida; Brassicales; Caricaceae
Description: long non-coding RNA (CPAP_LNC000284)
Source: RNAcentral
UCACCGUGCUCCGGCGACAGCACCGCUGCCCGCGGCGGCGAUCCGCCUCGGGUUGGUCGUUUUCGGCCGAAUUCAGCCAAACUUGCAUUGGUUCCUAUGAUAAAACAACCCUAGGGCCCUCAAUGGGCCAAAAAAUCAUGAAAAAUCGAGACUUACCGGCGGCGGAGCUCUCGGGUACGGCGACUUCUCCGGUGCGAGUCGCGAUUUG